AGUGGAUAUGAAAAAAAAAUGCUUAGAAUUUGUUUUUCUUGGUUUUGCUGUAUAAGAGAUUGAUUUUCAGUUGACAUGCUGAGUGUUCAUGUGAUCAUGAGAGAAGAAUGUAAAAGCUGGUGCAUUUGUUUGUUUAUGUUUAUGAGACUGCUUAAUUUCUCAAACCUAGUGAGCUGCCUAUGUAGGCAACAUUUUAAGGGCUUAUCAGUGCGGAGGCUGUUCUGCAACAAAACGAUGCUGUCUUCUAUCACAUGCAUCCUUUACCUGCAUUUAAAAAAAAAUUCCUCUGAGAUCGUGAAAUGUGUAGUAAUAUACUUAGUACUAAAUGAAAUGCUUCAAUAAAAGCAGCUGGCUAGUGAUAAAUUGACUAUUUUACCCAACAUUUUUAUGCCUCGAGUAUUGCAUUGAUAGUUUAGCCAGUGCCAAAAGUCUAUUGGAAUUGUGGUUUGUGCUCUAAUCUCUGGCAGAGUCCCGUACUUCGAGACGAGUGCUGCGAACGGUGAGAACGUGAGCCGUGCCGUGGAGGUUCUGCUGGAUCUGAUCAUGAAGCGCAUGGAGAGAUGUGUGGACAAAUCCUGGAUCCCCGACGGGAUGGUUCGCACCAACGGCCACAGCACCAGCAACCUGGCAGAGCCGCGUGACGCCGAGCAGAGCAAGUGCGGCUGCUAAUGCCAAUGGAUGGACUAAAGCCACCUAGAUUCAAGUCUUCACGUUUUGAGAGCACUUUACACCAAAUCCUGCAUUCAGAAGCCUUGAUGCGUCAGAUUAGAUGUGUUUCAAGGGCUUGAUUCCUCUCAGUUUCACUAUUAGUGCACAUCUAUUGUUAAAACUAGACCCAUGCGUGCAUCAGUGCAGUUCUCUGAUUCUGACAGUUGUUAGAAAAAUGAGUUUUGUGUUGAUUUCUAAAUGAAAACCCCACAUUAUAUCACUGAGAAUCUGAUUUUUUAAAAUAUAUGCAUGUUAAAAAAGAUAUUUUUUAAAAUAUUUGUUUAAAAUGUUUAUAUUUUAAAUAUAUACACAUAAAAUAUCAUUAAGAACCUGCCACCUUUUCAAAACAAUUAUGAAAAUAAAAAAAGCAUCAUAUGGUCUUGAAAUGGCAUGAAGAUUAAUGAUGAGAGAAUUGAUCAGUUCCUGUAAUAAUUUGUGCUGGUUGUCCCUCUCUAGUGGACUGAACAGCACUCACUUCUAUGUCACUUUUUAACAAGUUUGUAGAAUUUAACACUUUUAAAUGUGUUACUAUGUUAUCUGUAGUCAUGUAGAUGUCAGAGACAAGUAAAAUAAGUAUUUAGCUGUUAUUGUAUUCAUUUUUAGGUUAGUGGUUGAUUUGUAUUGUACGUUUGUUUAGACAUUCACCAGGUGUUGGUUGUGGUUUUUCUGUAUUUCCGGUCGCUGGUUCAUGAAGAUCUACUGCCAUUUAAACACAGGAUUUGAUUUGGAAUGUUGUUUAGAUUAAAUAUCCGCAUCUAUACUGUAAAUGAUGGUAAUAUUUCUCAAAAAAUGGUUGUACAGUGCCAGUAGAUUGCGCUCAUCUCAUCUCUUUACAGUCUCUCCAUUUCACAAAAGCAAAGCAAAUGAAUUUUGAGUGAAUGUUUUUAAUCUUCUGUGGACAUUUCGGUUUCGUUUACAGAAUCAUUUCCAAAGUGCUUUAUUCUACUGUAGUGCCUGUAACACUGAAUCAGUGCCAAACACGAUCUUUUGUGCCAAAUACUGAAACUCUAUUUGAAAAAAUAAAUAUAUUUUAUUAUUUAUUA
Molecule: long non-coding RNA, 1751 nt
Organism: Sinocyclocheilus anshuiensis
Lineage: Eukaryota; Metazoa; Chordata; Actinopteri; Cypriniformes; Cyprinidae
Exons: 2
Source: RefSeq, a predicted model, not a curated record